UGGGGAAUCUUGGACAAUGGGGGCAACCCUGAUCCAGCCAUGCCGCGUGUGUGAAGAAGGCCUUCGGGUUGUAAAGCACUUUCAGCAGGGAGGAAGGCUUUGGCCGAAUAGGUUGAAGUACUUGACGUUACCUGCAGAAGAAGCACCGGCUAAUUUCGUGCCAGCAGCCGCGGUAAUACGAAAGGUGCGAGCGUUAAUCGGAAUUACUGGGCGUAAAGCGCGCGUAGGUGGUGUGUUAAGUCGGAUGUGAAAGCCCUGGGCUCAACCUGGGAAUGGCAUCCGAUACUGGCCCGCUAGAGUGCAGUAGAGGGAGGUGGAAUUUCCGGUGUAGCGGUGAAAUGCGUAGAGAUCGGAAGGAACACCAGUGGCGAAGGCGGCCUCCUGGACUGACACUGACACUGAGGUGCGAAAGCGUGGGGAGCGAACA
Molecule: ribosomal RNA, 427 nt
Filed under: uncultured Alcanivorax sp.
Lineage: Bacteria; Pseudomonadati; Pseudomonadota; Gammaproteobacteria; Oceanospirillales; Alcanivoracaceae
Description: partial 16S ribosomal RNA
Rfam family: Bacterial small subunit ribosomal RNA
Source: RNAcentral